Molecule: ribosomal RNA, 253 nt
Filed under: uncultured bacterium
Lineage: Bacteria
Description: partial 16S ribosomal RNA
Rfam family: Bacterial small subunit ribosomal RNA
Source: RNAcentral
UACGUAGGGGGCAAGCGUUGUCCGGAAUCAUUGGGCGUAAAGAGCGUGUAGGCGGCUCGAUAAGUCUGCUGUGAAGGUCCAGGGCUCAACCCUGGAAGGCCGGUGGAAACUGUCGGGCUAGAGUCCGGAAGAGGCGAGUGGAAUUCCCGGUGUAGCGGUGAAAUGCGCAGAUAUCGGGAGGAACACCAAUGGCGAAGGCAGCUCGCUGAGACGGUACUGACGCUGAGACGCGAAAGCGUGGGGAGCAAACAGG